GGGCUCAGUAGUUGUGGUACUCAGACUUAGCUGCCCUGGAACACGUGGGAUCAUUUCCCUGACCAGGGAUCAAACCCAUGUCUCCUGCACUGGAAGGCAGGUUCUUAACCACUGGACCACUAGUAUUACAUCAGCUCCACCUCAGAUCAUUGGGUAUUAGACCCCAGAAGUUGGGCAACCCUGACUUAGACCAUGAAGGCCAGAUUUCUGCCUUUACAGUGAGUAAUGACAUGAUCUCCUUUUAAAGUUGAUGAGAAUAAAUGAAAUAUGACUGGAAAAAAGGACCCAAGAUGGUUUCUCCUCAAAGUAAGCACUGUAUAGAGUCCAGUAGUAGAGUAUCUUCAUUUCAAGUCCAGGAUGUCCAGAAGCAAGUAUUAAAGCAGCAGUGAUGUUGCUGGUACUGCUAAGAAAUGUCACGCGAUAACAAUGGCAACAAAAAUGAAAAUAAUUGAUAAGAGUGGAGCAAGGUGAAACGAUGGAGGCCUAGCAAAAGAAUGAAGAGCGGCAAGAGGAAGAAGAAAGAACUGAAGAACCGAAGAGACUCAUGACACAGGAAAUGGCAGGGGGAUUUUCUUCAUUCGAGGAGGCACUGUUAGCUUUGGAGGCACAGGACCUGCGCAUAGAACGGGACAGGAAAGUUUGCGUGAGGCCACCAUUCAGAAUGCAAGCCAGUGCUACUGUGUCCCCUAUGAUGAGAAAAAAAGAGCUAUGACCUAGUUAUCACUGGAUGAUUUUUUCAAGAGGGUAGAGAGAGUUGAAUCCAGCAACAAACCAGAACCUGUGCAUCAAUGCAAGGCAUGAGUGAAAUUGCAGCUUGAUUCCAUUUCCUGUUGCUGACAACUGUUCAGCUCUACCAUCUCCCGCCUCCCCGCCCUCCUCCAGUCAGUAACUCUUCUUGCCUGUUCACUGAUGCCAGCUCCUGUAUGCCAGCUGUUAUACUGCACUACUUCUUGUACUUUUCAAGCUACU
Molecule: long non-coding RNA, 969 nt
Organism: Bos taurus (domestic cattle)
Lineage: Eukaryota; Metazoa; Chordata; Mammalia; Artiodactyla; Bovidae
Source: Ensembl